UUUCUAUUAACAUUUACAUUUGUUCCUCUCUACCUGAAACUGAGAGAAGGCGGCCAUGGAGAUCGACAAAGAGAUCGAGUAAUUGGAAGGGAGAAAUGAGUUUUAUUGAGUUGCAGUAAGAUGGGCUUGAUCUUGAGUGUGUUGUUGAGUAUUACAAGGAUUUUUGCUGAGUUGAAUUUGAAGAUUACAGUGAGAAUUGAUUUGCUGCUGAAUCGAGAUUGUUCGAAGGUUGAGAAGGAAAUUAAGGCUGGGUUUCUGCUGCUGUGGUCAUUCACAGUUAGGGUUUUUGUUGGAUUUUGUUGUUAUUCUCGAUUGAUGGUUUGUGGAAGAUGUUGGUGAUGAUUACAGAAAUUAGGGUUUGUGGAUGACAUUGCUGUUAUCGAUUGAAUAAGAAAACAAGACAGGUUUGGGUUGUGCUGGAUUCAAGGGUGCAGAGAGUUAGAAGAGGAACUUGAAACUGCUGUAGGAUAACAAAUGAAGAAUGGCUUGAAGAAAUAGACAACACUGGUGGUGAUUUUUGAUGUUUUAUGAACUACUGAAGUUGCAGUUGAGAUGUAAUGAAGAAGAUAGAGCCGAAGUUGCAGGUGAGUGAAGAGGACAAUGGUGUUGUCUUAGGAUGAAUGUGAAGUUGUAGGAAAUGCAGUGGUAAUCUUGGUGUUACAGAGAAAGAUUGGAAUGUGUUGCAACCCAAUACAGGCAACGGAUUCAGAUGGCUAUGGAUGAAUGGUGAUUCAGUUGGUGGUUGCCGUUGCAAGAGACAAGAAUGGGUAUUUGAUUUGGCACUAAACUGAAAUGGGUUUGAGGCAAUGUGUGCAGGUGUUAGCAAUGAACUGAGAUACUGAGAAGAAUGAGUAUUGGCUGGGAAGAUAUCAUUUGAGCAGGUUCUACAAUUGGAACAAGGAAAUGAUUUGAAAUGAUGUUGUGUAUGUGAAGCUACAAGAAGUGUGAAGUUGCAGCGAAGGCAAGGAAGUAAUGCAGUUGAAAUGUGCUGAAUUAGAUGUAUGAUGCAGGAAGUGAUCGAAGCUAAUGGGUGAUGCUGUGACGGAUGCAGAACUGGAACUAGUGGUCAAGAUGAAGCAGUUGGUGUGCAUCCGAGAAAGAUACAAGUGAUGAUGUUGUUGCAGUUGUGUGGCUGGAGCUGUUAAACUGAGCAUGGGUUUCAGAUGAGAAGCUGGUGGUUAAUGUUGAAGACAAGAAGAGAUGCAUCUCUGUGUGACUAACUGGAUGCAAUGCAUUGCAGGAUGGUGAAAAUGCUGAUAACUGGUGGUGAUUUGGUCAAGUUACAGAGUCCUGAGUAAGCUGAAUGGUGCUGAGACAAUGAAGCUGAAUAUAUGAGCAGAAUGGGUAUGGUGGUGUGCCGCUGGUGAAUCAAUAUGGGUUCGUUUUGCACAGAAAUUCAGAGAGAAAUGGAGAUUGAGCAUAUGAGGAUGAUGCAGAUUCAAAGAAAUCAGUACUGUAGCAUAUGUUCAUAAUGUGCUGAUGUUGCAGCUGCAAUCUGAGACAAGGAAGAGUACUGGUGAAUGAUGGAGGCUACAUCAAAUGGAACUAGUGUUGAGAUGACCAGGUGCUGGAUUUGGUGUUGCAGCUAUGAACUAUGGUUUAUAUGGCAGUGUGGAGUGUUAUCAAAUGUUGCUGGUAUGAACUGGUGGAUAUUUGAUUGAACAGAGAAGGUGAGAAUGUGCAUCUGCAAAUGAAGCUACAGUAAGAGUUGGAGGUGUUGUUGUUGUUGUUAUAUGAUGAUUAAGAUGGGUUUGGUGGUAAUGGAAUGUAUGAAUUGCAGCUGCAGUUGGAGGUGAAACUGAGCCUGAGAUGAAGUGCUGAAUAGAUGAAUGUUAGGAGGAUGUGAACCUAUACUGCAAUGUAUUUAUGGUCCCAGAGAAUCAAGGCAUAAGCUGUGAAGUGUGCAACUGAGCAGACAUGGCAGUGGUGGUAUGACUGAGAUGGUGAGAUUCAGAUGAAGUAAUUGGUAAGAUGAUUAUGGAGGUAAUGGUAGCAGUGGCAGUGAAGUUACAGGGAUUGGUGUUGUGUACAGCAUGAAGAGAUAUUUGGACAGAAUGGAACUGUGGUAUGCACAUCCAUAAUAGCUGGAUUGCACUUGUGAAGCGUAAUGAUGGUGCAGCACAAUCUCAAGAAAGUACAAAUGGCUCAGGCCUAGGCCAAGACCAUUCAGCCCAGUUAGCCGAGUCAGUAGCUGACUUUGACAUUGACUCGGUCUAACUUUCUAAGUUAGUCCAGUUGACCCGAGUCGAUUCAGUUGACUUGAUUGAGUUGAGUUUUGACCGGUGACCGGGUGGAUUUUGCCGGUCACCUGAGCUUUUUUCCGAUCACUUUGUCGGCCAAUUUCCGGCGCUGGUAACAGCUUUCCGACGACAUGUUUUUGGCAGAAUUUCUACAUGGGUUUUUCUCACAUAUGGGCUUGGUGAAUUUUUAUCUAAUGGACUUUGAAGAGUAGACCUAAUUUUGGGAAGCAAAGGAUUAUAAAAGAAAGACUUCUACAACUUGGAUAUCACGAUCAUAUAUUGCAUACUGCUGAGGCUCAGAAUAUUCCUUUCUAAUUUUCUUGUAAAUAUGGUUGAUGUACGAGAUGCCUCGUUCGGACUAAGAAGAUUAAGACAGCAUGAGGCCCUUGGCAUUACAGCUGAACUAAAAUCUCAAGUUAUAUCUAUAUUGCGUUUCUGUAUUUUUUUGUUAGGGUAAAGACCAAAACAAAUCAUCUAGUGAGACAAUGUAGAAAAUGAGAACUACAACAUGAGAAAGAUAGAUUCCACUGUGGCCUUUUUAUUUGCUUGUCUUUUUUAUUCUACCGAUACCUAUGUCUCAAUAUUUUUUUAUAAGUAUAAUAAGUAGU
Long non-coding RNA from Papaver somniferum (opium poppy), 2848 nucleotides. RefSeq lists it as uncharacterized. NCBI's taxonomy places the organism in Eukaryota, Viridiplantae, Streptophyta, Magnoliopsida, Ranunculales, Papaveraceae. The transcript has 3 exons. The record is from RefSeq and is a predicted model, not a curated record.